AAUACCACUUUUUGUCCAUGCUACUUCCCUCGACAGCUAUGAGAACCUUAGACCAGGGCGAAGGGGCAAGGGAGCCAUCAAAAAACGGAUGUAACCAGUCUCUCUUUACUUUACACCCAAUGAUAAGGGGCUCCUCACCGCCACAGCAGAGACAAAGGUGUCCACCAGGCAGUAGUCGGCCACGUCGUGACCCUGUGAGGAGAAGUUUCCAAGCACUUGUAUGUCUACCGUAUGCUCUGUCCUCGUCUGCGUGAGGAAGUCAAACACCGAGAGCCUAUAACCAUCAUAGGACAGCUCACCCUGAAAUGAAAGACAUACCAGACUGGUUAUCCCACAAGGAGAUAGAGAAGAUACAAGCCCAGCAUCUCCACAGAGGACCGGAGCUAAGCAGGCUCUUCAGGUGACCUGAACUCAGACUGAUCAUGAUGGUUUAGUGGUUAGCUCUGAAGCCUCCCGCCUCCAGUUCUGUGGUCCAAAAUACUACCUGAGGCUCUCUGUGUGGAGGGCGUGUUGCAUGUUAUGUUAAUACAAGUUUUCCUCUUCCAGAAAAUUUUACAUAAGUGAAGCGGUGUCUGCAAGCUAACCGUAAUGUGUGAGUUCAUGGGCAGCGGUGACCUGAUAUCCCAUCCAAACCUCAUGCCCUGUGUCUCCUGUGGUAAGCAACAGUCCCAAUGUAACCACGUACUGAAUAAGCAGUUAUAGAAUAUAGAUGGACGUUUUAAGCCGAGACCCCUCUAUAUUCUGAGGGUGGUUCAAACCCAUAAUUUUACUACCUGGAUAUCUACCUGCCUACCGCUAAGUGCCAAGGGCACUCCCCCCAUAAUGACUUCACCCCCUCCCCCCAAAAAAACUGUUUUCACUGUAAACUCUGCUGGAGACUGCAGCUUAUUCAUUAACACCGAGCCGUAAAUUCUAGUGGUAAAAUGGAACUGAGCAAGAACUGGAAAUCCUGUCAUGACUCUGGCCUGACAUCAGCAGUGCUUGAUGUAUUCCCCAUUUCGAUGGCAGCUCUUGCUGGAAUCACACCAAAACUGGGUUUCUCUCCAAUACCCAGACACUGGUCACUAACUGCUGCCUGUAACCUGUUUCCCGGUUUGCACUUAUGCUACAUUAGAACGAGCCUAUUAAUGCUGGCACUUCACUCCAAGCAAUCACUCGAUCAACCAAUAAAUCACUCAUUCAAUAAAUCAACUAACCAAUCAAUCAAAGUUUUGUCACACAUACAGUGAUACUUAGUAUACUGUGCAGUGAAAUGCUAUGUUGCCAAGUUACAAAACUGAGAAACAGGGGAUGCAAGUAUAAAGAGACAAAACAUUAAAUAACAAACAUUAAGAAAUAAUAAUAAAUUUCCAUGAACAACGUGGAAUUUGCAGUACAGUGACAGGUGGUAGUCGGGGGAGGGGACUACCUUGCUCCCGUGGAUGGUGGUCUUGCGCCUGCAGACCUCCUCUGUGAAAGCCACCAUGGUGAAGGCAGCAGUGAGACCUCCAUCAAACUCCAUGUUCACAACCUGGUUAUGGGGGGAAAAAGGUUAAUGCUUCGCCGGGUGCCGUCACAGAAAACGACGGUAUUACCGGUUUCACCCAGGGCCUUCCUCACCUGGUUGGUGCAGACGUCGUUGUCGCAGCUGUAGACGCAGCGGCCGUAAGGACCCUGACGCAGAGCUUCCGUCACAGUCUCGAUGUCGGGAACUGAGCUAGGGCACAGCACCGAGACCGGCCAGCGGACGUGCCCCUGCCAGAAGACUGACGCUAUUACAUUCGCGUACCGCUUCGACUAGAGCAUAUAACCCAGCCUGGAAUGUCACACCUGCUUACAUUUAACUUUCAGCAGGAUAUGACAGCCAGUCCCCCUGAAGCAGUGUUUAAGAACAUAAGAACUAUACAAGAGGAGGCCAUUCGGCCCAUCAAGCUCGCUUGGGGAGAACUAAACUAAUAGCUCAGAGUUGUUAAAAUCUUAUCUAGCUCUGAUUUAAAGGAACCCAAGGAUUCAGCUUGCACUACAUUAUCAGGAAGGCUAUUCCAUACUCUGACUACACGCUGUGUAAAGAAGUGCUUCCUUAAACCCAGCUUGAAAUGUUCUCCCGCUAAUUUCCACCUAUGGCCACGAGUUCGUGUAUUUAAACCAGUCCAGUCCUCACGAUCCCCCAGACAGUCUACAUUUUUGCUCCCUCUCAACUCCCAACACACCUGUACCAGAUAUUCAGUGUUAUUGUAGGUGUCCAGGGAGGUAUCUGGGAAUUUGAACUGACAGUUUUCUAAUGUUCCCAACUAGGCCAGCUGUGGUCUAUUCACGCAAGCUUCAUGUUUCUACAGCUGCAAUCUUCAAAUCAUGAUCACGUGCGUUUCCACAUUACCUCGUUCAUCCUAAAACCUAAAACCGAAAAAAAUCUACGAAUGCGAAUAUCUAUACACUCAGAUACCCAGUUUUCAGGAUCAGCUGAUCCUCACCACAACCGUGUAUCGUAUAGGCAGCUGGAAGAUGGCUCUCUCUUGUAUUUUCCUGGCAAUUCUACAGGACACCGGAGUAAAACCAUUCACGAAAUUGA
Molecule: long non-coding RNA, 2548 nt
Organism: Brienomyrus brachyistius
Lineage: Eukaryota; Metazoa; Chordata; Actinopteri; Osteoglossiformes; Mormyridae
Exons: 2
Source: RefSeq, a predicted model, not a curated record